This 124-nucleotide small RNA is filed under the name Marmota monax (woodchuck). It matches the Rfam family "U2 spliceosomal RNA", at positions 1 to 123 of the family's 192-position model. Rfam says of the family: U2 is a small nuclear RNA (snRNA) component of the spliceosome (involved in pre-mRNA splicing). The record is from RNAcentral. Lineage: Eukaryota; Metazoa; Chordata; Mammalia; Rodentia; Sciuridae.
CCCUCUUCUCGGCCUUUUGGCUAAGAUCAUGUGUAGUAUCUGUUCUUAUCAGUUUAAUAUCUGAUACGUCCUCUAUCCAAAACACUUUAAAAUUAAACAUGUUUUUCCAUUGAGAAGAAUGAUU